UUUGUCUCUCUAGGUGAUCGAGA
This 23-nucleotide non-coding RNA is filed under the name Arabidopsis thaliana (thale cress). The record is from RNAcentral. Lineage: Eukaryota; Viridiplantae; Streptophyta; Magnoliopsida; Brassicales; Brassicaceae.